GAUGUUGGCUUAGAAGCAGCCAUACAUUUAAAGAGUGCGUAAUAGCUCACUGGUCGAGUGAAGUUGCGCGGAAAAUUACCGGGGCUAAGCUAUACACCGAAAUUGCGGAUUUACAUUUGAAAGAUAAUGUAAGUGGUAGAGGAGCAUUCUGUAGUAGGGAGAAGCAUAAGCGAGAGCAUGUGUGGACGAGGCAGAAGAGAGAAUGCUGGAAUAAGUAGCGAGAGCAAGGUGAGAAUCCUUGCCGUCGAAAGUCUAAGGUUUCCUGGGGAAGGUUCGUCCGCCCAGGGUAAGUCGGGACCUAAGGUGAGGCUGAAAAGCGUAGCCGAUGGAUAGCAGGUUGAAAUUCCUGCACUAUAGAUAUACUUAAAAGAUGCAAGGGACGCAGGAGUGGAAGAUAAGCGAGGAAGAGGAAAAACUCGUAUCGAAAGAUAUAGUGAAAAUAAAGUAACGAAUUAUCAAGAAGCACACUGACGAGAAAAGCUUGUAGAUAUUGUAUAUAAAUACCCGUACCGCAAACCGACACAGGUAGAUGAGGAGAGGAUCCUAAGACGAGCGGGAGAAGCAUUGUUAAGGAACUCGGCAAAUUGACCCCGUAACUUAGGGAGAAGGGGUGCCAAGGUAACACUUGGCCGCAGUGAAGAGGUUCAAGCAACUGUUUAACAAAAACACAGGUUUCUGCUAAAUCGAAAGAUGAAGUAUAGGAGCUGACGCCUGCCCAGUGCUGGAAGGUCAAAGGGAAGUGUUAGUAAAAACUUACGAAGCACAGAACUCAAGCCCCAGUGAACGGCGGCCGUAACUAUAACGGUCCUAAGGUAGCGAAAUUCCUUGUCAGGUAAGUUCUGACCCGCACGAAAGGCGUAAUGAUUUGAACACUGUCUCAACAAUGUACCCGGCGAAAUUGUAGUACUAGUGAAGAUGCUAGUUACCUGCGACAAGACAGAAAGACCCCAUGGAGCUUUACUGCAGCUUGAUACUGGGUUUUGGUAAUUUAUGUACAGGAUAGGUGGGAUACUAAGAAGCAAGUGCGCCAGCAUUUGUGGAGUAGACGUUGGGAUACCACUCUUAAAUUAUUGAAAUUCUAACCUGUGAUCAUGAACUGGUCAGGGGACAAUGUCAGGCGGGCAGUUUGACUGGGGCGGUCGCCUCCUAAAGAGUAACGGAGGCGCCCAAAGGUUUCCUCAGCACGGACAGAAAUCGUGCGAAAGAGUGUAAAGGCAGAAGGAAGCUUAACUGGGAGACUGACAAGUCGAGCAGAUACGAAAGUAGGGCUUAGUGAUCCGGCGGUAGUGAGUGGAAAUGCCGUCGCUCAACGGACAAAAGUUACCCUGGGGAUAACAGGCUUAUCUCCCCCAAGAGUUCACAUCGACGGGGAGGUUUGGCACCUCGAUGUCGGCUCAUCGCAUCCUGGAGCUGAAGUCGGUUCCAAGGGUUGGGCUGUUCGCCCAUUAAAGCGGUACGCGAGCUGGGUUCAGAACGUCGUGAGACAGUUCGGUCCUUAUCUGUCGCAGGCGUAGGAUAUUUGAAGGGAGCUGUCCUUAGUACGAGAGGACCAGGAUGGACAUACCGAUGGUGUAUCAGUUGUCACACCAGUGGCACGGCUGAGUAGCUAAGUAUGGAAGGGAUAAACGCUGAAAGCAUCUAAGUGUGAAGCCCACCUUAAGAUAAGAUAUCCCAUUGCGUAAGCAAGUAAGAUCCCAUGAAGACUACAUGGUAGAUAGGUUGGGGGUGUAAGUACAGUAAUGUAUUAAGCUGACCAAUACUAAUAGAUCGAGGGCUUAACCAC
RNAcentral lists this ribosomal RNA (1783 nucleotides) under human gut metagenome. Its description in RNAcentral is "bacterial LSU rRNA". It matches the Rfam family "Bacterial large subunit ribosomal RNA", at positions 1097 to 2925 of the family's 2925-position model. The record is from RNAcentral.